AGAGUUUGAUCCUGGCUCAGAUUGAACGCUGGCGGCAUGCCUUACACAUGCAAGUCGAACGGUAACGCGGGGGCAACCCUGGCGACGAGUGGCGAACGGGUGAGUAAUACAUCGGAACAUAUCCAGUAGCGGGGGAUAACCUAUCGAAAGAUGGACUAAUACCGCAUACGAUCUACGGAUGAAAGCAGGGGACCGCAAGGCCUUGCACUAUUGGAGUGGCCGAUGUCGGAUUAGCUAGUUGGUGGGGUAAAAGCUUACCAAGGCGACGAUCCGUAGCUGGUCUGAGAGGACGAUCAGCCACACUGGGACUGAGACACGGUCCAGACUCCUACGGGAGGCAGCAGUGGGGAAUUUUGGACAAUGGGCGCAAGCCUGAUCCAGCCAUGCCGCGUGAGUGAAGAAGGCCUUCGGGUUGUAAAGCUCUUUCGGUGAAGACGAAACGGUUCAUGCUAAUAACGUGAACUAAUGACGGUACUCACAGAAGAAGCACCGGCUAACUACGUGCCAGCAGCCGCGGUAAUACGUAGGGUGCAGGCGUUAAUCGGAAUUACUGGGCGUAAAGCGUGCGCAGGCGGUUUGCUAAGACAGGUGUGAAAUCCCCCGGGCUUAACCUGGGAAUUGCGCUUGUAACUGGCAAGCUAGAGUGUGGCAGAGGGGGGUGGAAUUCCACGUGUAGCAGUGAAAUGCGUAGAUAUGUGGAGGAACACCGAUGGCGAAGGCAGCCCCCUGGGUUAACACUGACGCUCAUGCACGAAAGCGUGGGGAGCAAACAGGAUUAGAUACCCUGGUAGUCCACGCCCUAAACUAUGUCAACUAGUUGUCGGGGAAGAAAUUCCUUGGUAACGAAGCUAACGCGUGAAGUUGACCGCCUGGGGAGUACGGCCGCAAGGUUAAAACUCAAAGGAAUUGACGGGGACCCGCACAAGCGGUGGAUUAUGUGGAUUAAUUCGAUGCAACGCGAAAAACCUUACCUACCCUUGACAUGCUAGGAAGCCCGCAGAGAUGUGGGUGUGCCCGAAAGGGAACCUAGACACAGGUGCUGCAUGGCUGUCGUCAGCUCGUGUCGUGAGAUGUUGGGUUAAGUCCCGCAACGAGCGCAACCCUUGCCAUUAGUUGCUACAUUCAGUUGGGCACUCUAAUGGGACCGCCGGUGACAAACCGGAGGAAGGUGGGGAUGACGUCAAGUCCUCAUGGCCCUUAUAGGUAGGGCUUCACACGUAAUACAAUGGUCGGUACAGAGGGCUGCCAACCCGCAAGGGGGAGCUAAUCCCAGAAAGCCGAUCGUAGUCCGGAUUGUAGUCUGCAACUCGACUGCAUGAAGCCGGAAUCGCUAGUAAUCGCGGAUCAGCAUGUCGCGGUGAAUACGUUCCCGGGUCUUGUACACACCGCCCGUCACACCAUGGGAGUGGGUUCCACCAGAAGUAGUUAGCCUAACCGCAAGGAGGGCGAUUACCACGGUGAGAUUCAUGACUGGGGUGAAGUCGUAACAAGGUA
RNAcentral lists this ribosomal RNA (1494 nucleotides) under metagenome. Its description in RNAcentral is "bacterial SSU rRNA". It matches the Rfam family "Bacterial small subunit ribosomal RNA". The record is from RNAcentral.